This 515-nucleotide ribosomal RNA is filed under the name Bacillus sp. (in: firmicutes). Its description in RNAcentral is "bacterial SSU rRNA". It matches the Rfam family "Bacterial small subunit ribosomal RNA", at positions 841 to 1357 of the family's 1533-position model. The record is from RNAcentral. Lineage: Bacteria; Bacillati; Bacillota; Bacilli; Caryophanales; Bacillaceae.
UAGUGCUGCAGCUAACGCAUUAAGCACUCCGCCUGGGGAGUACGGUCGCAAGACUGAAACUCAAAGGAAUUGACGGGGGCCCGCACAAGCGGUGGAGCAUGUGGUUUAAUUCGAAGCAACGCGAAGAACCUUACCAGGUCUUGACAUCCUCUGACAACCCUAGAGAUAGGGCUUUCCCUUCGGGGACAGAGUGACAGGUGGUGCAUGGUUGUCGUCAGCUCGUGUCGUGAGAUGUUGGGUUAAGUCCCGCAACGAGCGCAACCCUUGAUCUUAGUUGCCAGCAUUUAGUUGGGCACUCUAAGGUGACUGCCGGUGACAAACCGGAGGAAGGUGGGGAUGACGUCAAAUCAUCAUGCCCCUUAUGACCUGGGCUACACACGUGCUACAAUGGACAGAACAAAGGGCUGCGAGACCGCAAGGUUUAGCCAAUCCCAUAAAUCUGUUCUCAGUUCGGAUCGCAGUCUGCAACUCGACUGCGUGAAGCUGGAAUCGCUAGUAAUCGCGGAUCAGCAUGC